RNAcentral lists this ribosomal RNA (253 nucleotides) under uncultured bacterium. RNAcentral describes it as "partial 16S ribosomal RNA". It matches the Rfam family "Bacterial small subunit ribosomal RNA", at positions 524 to 776 of the family's 1533-position model. The record is from RNAcentral.
UACAGAGGGGGCAAGCGUUAUUCGGAUUCAUUGGGCGUAAAGGGUGCGUAGGUGGCGCCGUAAGUCGGGUGUGAAAUUUCGGAGCUUAACUCCGAAACUGCAUUCGAUACUGCGGUGCUUGAGGACUGGAGAGGAGACUGGAAUUCAUGGUGUAGCAGUGAAAUGCGUAGAGAUCAUGAGGAAGACCAGUGGCGAAGGCGGGUCUCUGGACAGUUCCUGACACUGAGACACGAAGGCCAGGGGAGCAAACGGG